GUGGUUGAACGAUCAGACUUUAGCAUUUGAAAGGUGGGGCACUGGUGAACCUGAUCAUGGUAGCCAACAACGAUGUGUGCUGAUUAAUGGAAUGGACAAUUACCUCUGGUAUGAUAAUUUUUGCCACUAACAAUAUCACACCAUCUGCGAACGUCCUUUAAAUCAACACACGACAACAGCAACAUCUAAUGCAGCAACAACUCCAAAAUUCACUUCAGUAGAGACAACUUCAACAUCAACAUUGUCUUCAACAACAACAACAACAAGAAAAACCACAACAGCUCCGACGACGACAAAGACUACAUCAACGACGACGAGCAGAACAAAUGCGCCUUUAACUACAGCGAAAGCGCCAGAAUAUUGCACAGAUCAUCAUGGAUACAAAUUGUUUGUGGAUGGAAACACACGUCUCUGUGUUCUUAUUGUCGACCAUCAUACAAGCUGGGAAGAUGCCAAGCGACAUUGUGCACACGAGAAUCAUGGACGAUUAGUUGUUCUAGACAGCCAUGAAAAAUUGACUCUAAUGGCUCAUCAUAAAGGCAGUCAUGAUUACUGGGUCGGGGCUGCAUAUCAAAAUUCAAACAUCCAAUUUUCUUGGCUGAAUGAACACCCUGUUGGUCCUAAUUCAUGGAACCAUGGUCAACCGAACGACCCUCACCACGAGCAGUGUGUUGCAUAUAUCGGUAAACUGUUAAACGACAGAAACUGUGAUGACGAAAAUAGAUCUAUUUGCGAAAUACCUUUAUAAAAAAGUAUUCAGAAUAA
Mya arenaria is the source of this 765-nucleotide long non-coding RNA. RefSeq lists it as uncharacterized. The transcript has 3 exons. The record is from RefSeq and is a predicted model, not a curated record. Lineage: Eukaryota; Metazoa; Mollusca; Bivalvia; Myida; Myidae.